Long non-coding RNA from Paramormyrops kingsleyae, 629 nucleotides. RefSeq lists it as uncharacterized. NCBI's taxonomy places the organism in Eukaryota, Metazoa, Chordata, Actinopteri, Osteoglossiformes, Mormyridae. The record is from RefSeq and is a predicted model, not a curated record.
AUCGACGCAGGUGCUGUUUGUGCAAAUCAGGAAAGCGCACCUGUGAACUACCGACUUUUUUUUUUUUUUUUUUACUUAUGAGGUGGUUUAUGGUCGUAUUUGCUUGCUUUUUUAUUUUCUGGCAAGUUGUUUCUUCGUAAUCUGGAGUCUAGAUGGAAAUGGACAGUGGAUCAGCCGCAAAGAUUAGGGUGAAUAGCAGAAACAACGAAACGUCUUAAAGUUCUCCAGGAUUCACAGACACGAUGACGCUCUUCUGCCUUGGACCCCUCUUGUUUCUUUUGAUGGCACUGCCCCCGCUGGUGAGUUUUAGCAUUGCAGCUACCACGAGGGUGCAUCCCUCCACCGCCCUUCCGCGGAACCAGCAUUACAGACACCGGGGAAUGGUAUCUGGUGUGAAGGGGAGCUGGGGUGUAAAAAAAUGCGUGGAGGACAGCAUUCCUCCACGUUGCUGUGCUGGGAGCCAUGCAGGGACGGCAUUAAACAAAGACGCUGAGCUCGCCAAUAGCCAUGUGUCUGAUCCCACCUAGAGCGAUGCAUUUGUUCUCGCAGUCCUCUGCUCUCUCGUUGAUCGUCCACCUCGGAGACGGCUGGGCCUGUACCAGCGAGGCCUUCGGCAUAUUGGAGAAUGA